Molecule: long non-coding RNA, 712 nt
Organism: Parambassis ranga (Indian glassy fish)
Lineage: Eukaryota; Metazoa; Chordata; Actinopteri; Ambassidae
Source: Ensembl
CUUCCUUUAACCGCGAUGUGGUGAAAGCCGGUACCGGUAGACGUUUCCUUGGUGGUCUCCUUGACGACACAUCCUACUGCUACACUCUGGAGGUGUCCUUCUACAGCUACAUGACAGCUGGCAGCGCCGCUCCUGUGCCCUACACGGAGGAGACAUACAUGAAGUUGGGCAGAAACGUGGCUCGAACAUUCCUAGAUUACUACAAACUUAACAACCUUAUCAACAACAGACCAACUCAUAUCCAAAGCUCUGAGAUGAUGUCCCAGACGGCCAACAGUAGCGGAAAGGGCAAUGUCUUUGGCAGAGACACAGCGGACAGAGAAAAGGAGAAGAGCCAGAGUGUCAGGCACUAGACAGACAGACGGACGGACUGAGCAUGAAUAAAGUGCAGAGCACUGUGGCAGGAGGAUCCUUCACACUUCAUUGCAUUUAUAAGCUCCACGUCUCCUUGGCUAUAAAGACUUAUUUCACAGAUUUGUAACAGUGAGGUGACUGGUACUUGCAGUACUAAAAUCCUCCAGGGUUAUUUAGUGACUGUUAAAACAUGGACUGCUGAGGGGGACACAGACCCUUCAUAUAAGGCCUUCGUCCUGGAAGCUUAUUCUGUCUUUGUUGCAAAAAUGCAUGCUUUCCCACUGAUACUGACUUAGUUUAUUACUUUAUUGCACAGUGCUAUUAUUUAUGUUGGUAUGAUAAUCCGUCAUUAAACGAU